AUUGAACGCUGGCGGCAUGCUCUACACAUGCAAGUCGAACGGCAGCGCGGGCUUCGGCCUGGCGGCGAGUGGCGAACGGGUGAGUAAUACAUCGGAACGUGCCCAGUAGUGGGGGAUAGCUCGGCGAAAGCCGGAUUAAUACCGCAUACUACCUGAGGGUGAAAGCGGGGGAUCUUCGGACCUCGCGCUCUUGGAGCGGCCGAUGGCAGAUUAGCUAGUUGGUGGGGUAAAGGCCUACCAAGGCGACGAUCUGUAGCUGGUCUGAGAGGACGACCAGCCACACUGGGACUGAGACACGGCCCAGACGCCUAAGGGAGGCAGCAGUGGGGAAUGUUGGACAAUGGGCGAAAGUAUGAUCCAGCAAGGCCGCGUGUGUGAUGAAGGCCUUCGGGUUGUAAAGAACUUUUGGCGGGAACGAAAAGGACUGUGCCAAUACCACGGUUCGAUGACGGUACCCGGAGAAUAAGCACCGGCUAACUACGUG
Molecule: ribosomal RNA, 484 nt
Filed under: uncultured bacterium
Lineage: Bacteria
Description: partial 16S ribosomal RNA
Rfam family: Bacterial small subunit ribosomal RNA
Source: RNAcentral